RNAcentral lists this ribosomal RNA (440 nucleotides) under uncultured bacterium. RNAcentral describes it as "bacterial SSU rRNA". It matches the Rfam family "Bacterial small subunit ribosomal RNA", at positions 954 to 1392 of the family's 1533-position model. The record is from RNAcentral.
AUGGGAACGCGAAGAACCUUACCUAGACUUGACAUCUUCUGCAUUAAUCGUAAUGGAUGAAAUCCCUUCGGGGACAGAAUGACAGGUGGUGCAUGGUUGUCGUCAGCUCGUGUCGUGAGAUGUUGGGUUAAGUCCCGCAACGAGCGCAACCCCUAUUAUUAGUUGCUAACAUUAAGUUGAGCACUCUAGUGAGACUGCCCGGGUUAACCGGGUAGGAAGGUGGGGAGUGACGUCAAAUCAUCAUGCCCCUUAUGUCUAGGGCUACACACGUGCUACAAUGGUGGGAACAAAGAGAUGCAAGACCGCGAGGUGGAGCUAAACUCAAAACCCCAUCCCAGUUCGGAUUGUAGGCUGAAACUCGCCUACAUGAAGCUGGAGUUGCUAGUAAUCGCGAAUACAGAAUGUCGCGGUGAAUACGUUCCCGGGUCUUGUACACACCG